GGAGCCUCAGCGCUUUCGGCGCCAUUUUCGAGUGAUGCCUGAUCUCAUCAAUCUAGCGGGAGAGACGGGAUAACCUGUCGGAGAGCAUAACGCCACUAGGACUCAGCCGAAAAAUUACUAAAAAAAUCGCCAAAAAUUACUUCGAGCAAAGGGCACUUGGCGGAGCUUCGCCAGGGUUGGCGCAGCCGGUUUUGACCUUUAGGAGAGAGCCAAUUCUGGAGAACAACCUAACUUCUUUGAUUGAACAUUCACAUAAUGCAUUGGAACAUGAUAGGAGGUUAAGGUGAAUAACAACAAAAUGAAGACCAUAAUAAAACAAGCCCCCUACUUAGCCCUGCAAUUCUUACCUUUCUUACCUACUUGAUGAAGAUGUCAUUUGAAUUGGUGUACUGCAAGGAAUUAAAUGCUGUUUGUAAAUUAUGCUUUUACCAAGGUGGAUAUUACUAUCCCUUAUUCAUGGAAAAAGUUGUAUUCUAAGUGUUGUUUCCCAUUGAGUAUUAGCAAAAAGGAGAAAAAUUAAUGUCCUAAACUUUUGAGAUAGAUUUGGCUCUAGUAAGUAUUUAGACCUAUUAUUAAUAGGGUUGGCCAAAAAGUUCGUUCGGUUUUUUCCCAUAAGAUGGCUCUAGUAGUGAGUGCUUAGUUGUCUUUAACUUCAUUCAGAGCAGUUUUGUUAGGUUGUAUUGUGACAGCUGUCAUAUCAGAGUGCCGAUUAAAAAAAACUUAUCAAAAAAACUUAUCAAAAUUGGUGAAUUUUUGUAUAGCUAUUUUAGUAUUGAAGAUGGAAGAAAAAAGCAACAUUUUCGGCAUAUUAUGCUUUAUUAUUUCAAGAAAGGUAAAAACACAACUGAAACGCAAAAAAAGAUUCGUGCAUUGUGUGGAGAAGGUGCUGUGACUGAUCAAACGUGUCAAAAAUGGGUUUGUGAAGUUUUGUGCUGGAGAUGUCUUGCUGGACGAUGCUCCACGGUUGGGUAGACCAAUUGAAGUUGACAGGAAUCAAAUCAAGACAUUAAUUGAGAACAACCAACGUUAUACCACGUGGGAGAUAGCCGACAUACUCAAAAUAUCCAAAUCAAGCUUUGAAAAUCAUUUGCAGCAGCUUGGUUAUGUUAAUCGCUUUGAUGUUUGGCUUCCACAUAAGUUAAGUGAAAAAAACCUUCCUGCAUAUUUCCGCGUGUGAUUCUCUACUUAAACGUAACGAAAACAUUCCGUUUUUAAAACAAAUUGUGACGGGCAAUGAAAAGUGGAUACUGUACAAUAAUGUGGAACAGAAGAGAUCUUGGGCAAGUGAAAUGAACCACCACCAACCACACCAAAGUCCGUUCUUCAUCCAAAGAAGGUGACGUUGUGUAUUUGGUGGAAUUGGAAGGGAGUCCCCUCUUAUGAGCUCCUUCCAGAAAACCAAACAAUUAAUUGCAAGAAGUGCUGCUCCCAAUUAGACCUACUGAAAUCAGCACUCGAUGAAAAGCAUCCAGAAUUAGUCAACAGAAAACACAUAAUCUGGGACUUCCCUGGUUGUCCAGUGGUUAAGACUCUGUGCUUCCACUGCAGGGGGUGCAGCUCUGAUCCCUGGUCAGGGAACUAAGAUCCCACAUGCCACGCAACGCAGCCAAAAAUAAAUGAAUAAAUUUAAAAAGCAAAAAGAAAGAAAACGCGUAAUCUUCCAUCAGGAUACCGCAAGACUGCAUGUUUCUUUGAUGACUAGGCAAAAACUGUUACAGCUUGGCUAGGAAGUUCUGAUUCAUCCACCAUAUUCACCAGACAUUGCACCUUCGGAUUUCCAUUUAUUUCGGUCUUUACAAAAUUCUCUUAAUGGAAAAAAUUUCAAUUCCCUGCAGGACUAUAAAAGGCACCUGGAAUAGUUCUUUGCUCAAAAAGAUUAAAAAUUUUGGGAAGAAGGAAUUAUGAAGUUGCCUGAAAAAUGGCAGAAGGUAGUAGAACAAAAGGGCAAAUACGUUGUUCAAUAAAGUUCUUGGUGAAAAUGAAAAAUGUGUCUUUUAUUUUUACUUAAAACCCAAAGGAAUUUUUUGGCCAACCCAAUACUUACAUGUCUGGGAGAAGGAAUAAGAGACCAUCAUCAGUACAUUUCCAGCUAAAAUUUUUUAUUUUCUUACCUCUUAUCAAGGGGUUUCUUAAAAUUCCUGUUUUAUUACUAAUAGCUUGAGCCCCUUUAAUGGAGAAUUAAUUUCUCCAGCAGAAUUUAAGAGUUUAUGUUCUUACCUUGUUUAUUUAUAAAAUCUCACAGAUUUCUGAUUUUUUUUUUUUAGGCUAUUUGCAAUGAAGAAAAUGUUGGCAAAAUAAGUUUAAACUUUUUAUGUUAAAAUUACUGUGCAAGGUAACAAGUUAGUUGCUGGGUUUUUGUUUUUAUUAUACUGAAAUUAAAUUCAACAUUUAUAAUUUCUCUGGGUCUAUUUCUUGAUUUUUAAUCCAUGGGAUUCGUGCAAAAACUUCAUGAAUAAUACAUUUAGAUUAGCAUAUGUAUGAGUACAGGUCCCCCUUAAUUCUGUGGAACUUUGAAUAAUCUGAUACUUAUCAUAUUCUUGUGAUUGAACUUUUGUGUUUUGAAACAAUGUAAACUGCCUGGAGAAUCUUGUUAUUGUUUAUAUUUAUCUUAUGCUAUAGGGUUAGAUUUUGUUUGAGAAAUUAUGCUGAGAAAAAAAUUUUUAAGCCACCUUUACAGUAAAUGUCCUCAAUUUGAUUAACUUGUUAUUAAAGUUAUUCUGUAUAUCUUCAUUUUAUAAUUUAAGCACUUAGCAUGGAUUAAUAUCUUUAGGAAGCAGUAGAAACUUUAAAAUCACUCCAGAGUCUGCUUAUUUCCACAUCUCAUUAUUUUAUAAUCUUUGGGAAUGCUUGUAUUUAUGAAAGUAACAUUUUUCAGGGAUAUAAAUUCUAAUAGAACCACUAAAACUUUUUUUCUGUUUGGACUUUAAUGCAUACAAUAGUAACUACAGGAUAAUUUUUUUUAAGUUUUCAUGUGAUCAGUUAAAAAUACCACUUUAGCAUGAAGCAACGAAGUAGAAUGUCGUCCCAUAGUUAGAAGUAAAGAAAGUUUAAGUACAUCAUUUCUUAAGAGAAUUUGUACAUUUUAACAUAGUCUAUGCAGAUUUUUAUGUUAAUUUGUUUUUCCAUAAAUGUCUUUUCUGGCUUAUGUUUAACAAGGAGCAUUAAAAAUAGAUUUGAAGCAUUUAUAUAUAGAGGACUACAAAUUUAUUUAUUCUACUGUAUUGGCACUGAGGAUCAGCACUGAACAAAACAGAUAAAUUCCAGCCCUCAUGAGCUUACAGUUUUGGGGGUGAGGCAUGGGUAAUAGAAUAGACAAACUGAUAGGUACUAAUAUGUGGUAUGUCAGAUGGUGAUAAGUUCUAUGA
This is a long non-coding RNA of Balaenoptera acutorostrata (minke whale), 3365 nucleotides long. RefSeq lists it as uncharacterized. The transcript is spliced from 5 exons. NCBI's taxonomy places the organism in Eukaryota, Metazoa, Chordata, Mammalia, Artiodactyla, Balaenopteridae. The record is from RefSeq and is a predicted model, not a curated record.